Long non-coding RNA from Ahaetulla prasina, 587 nucleotides. RefSeq lists it as uncharacterized. NCBI's taxonomy places the organism in Eukaryota, Metazoa, Chordata, Lepidosauria, Squamata, Colubridae. The transcript is spliced from 3 exons. The record is from RefSeq and is a predicted model, not a curated record.
UCAGACACAUUGUUUCUGGCACCUGGUCUCUGUUUUUAUUUUAUUUUUCUUUGGGAAAUGGUGGGACUGUAAUCAUUCUGACUGCACGCAAAACAACUCUUUUCCUAAGUAUUAUUUUUAUUGGAAACAUUUUCAGGUUUCCUGUUUUCAGGAUCCCAAAACCCCAUGUGGUCCUGUCCACCGUUAAACCAUCUGCUCAAGCAGUCUCCAUGUUUCCAGUGUCUUUCUCCCCACUUGGAACUGAACCCAGAUGGACAUUUCAUCCAACAUUAAAUAUAGACUGCAGGCUGAAAGCAAGGAGACCAAAGUGAAAGACCACUAGAUACUUCUUUUUAGAUUGGAAAUUACUUAUAUCUGGAUGAAUGAAGGCAAAUAUGAGAUUUGUUUCUCAAUGGCUUUUUAUGGGUCCAGGUUCAGAAAUGUUAUAUGUGAAGUUAGAAUAAACAAUUCAUUGUUAGAAAUUCUUGAGGAAGUGAAGAGAAGGACAUGUAUUAGCUAUCAUAGAUGUAAAAUAUGAAGAUAUUUAAAAGCUAUAAUUAUUAUUUAUAAGAAAUGUUAUAGUAGAUAGUCAUUAAUCACUCAACUAA